GCACUUAUUUGAUAGACUGGGAGCAGUUACUGUCUGUUGCUAAUGUUUCCAAAUGUAGGGAAAGAAGUGUCCUCUUGCAUUCUACUGCCUCAUUGUGGCAGCCAAGACUUAAUGGGGGAACACGGGA
Vulpes vulpes (red fox) is the source of this 127-nucleotide small nucleolar RNA. Lineage: Eukaryota; Metazoa; Chordata; Mammalia; Carnivora; Canidae. The record is from Ensembl.